This 84-nucleotide transfer RNA is filed under the name Geobacter pickeringii. It matches the Rfam family "tRNA". From Rfam's summary of the family: Transfer RNA (tRNA) molecules are approximately 80 nucleotides in length. Their secondary structure includes four short double-helical elements and three loops (D, anti-codon, and T loops). The record is from Rfam by way of RNAcentral. Lineage: Bacteria; Pseudomonadati; Thermodesulfobacteriota; Desulfuromonadia; Geobacterales; Geobacteraceae.
GCCGGGGUGGUGAAAUUGGUAGACACAGCAGACUCAAAAUCUGCCGCUCGCAAGGGCAUGUCGGUUCGAGUCCGACCCUCGGCA